RNAcentral lists this ribosomal RNA (748 nucleotides) under uncultured bacterium. Its description in RNAcentral is "bacterial SSU rRNA". It matches the Rfam family "Bacterial small subunit ribosomal RNA", at positions 43 to 838 of the family's 1533-position model. The record is from RNAcentral.
CAGGCCUAACACAUGCAAGUCGAACGAAGCCUUCGGGCUUAGUGGCGGACGGGUUAGUAACGCGUGGGAAUGUACCCUUCACUACGGAAUAGUCCCGGGAAACUGGGUUUAAUACCGUAUACGCCCUUCGGGGGAAAGGAUUUCGGUGAAGGAUCAGCCCGCGUUAGAUUAGGUAGUUGGUGGGGUAAUGGCCUACCAAGCCUACGAUCUAUAGCUGGUUUGAGAGGAUGAUCAGCAACACUGGGACUGAGACACGGCCCAGACUCCUACGGGAGGCAGCAGUGGGGAAUCUUAGACAAUGGGGGAAACCCUGAUCUAGCCAUGCCGCGUGAGUGACGAAGGUCUUAGGAUCGUAAAGCUCUUUCAACUGUGAAGAUAAUGACGGUAGCAGUAGAAGAAACCCCGGCUAACUCCGUGCCAGCAGCCGCGGUAAUACGGAGGGGGUUAGCGUUGUUCGGAAUUACUGGGCGUAAAGCGCACGUAGGCGGAUUGGAAAGUUGGGGGUGAAAUCCCGGGGCUCAACCUCGGAACUGCCUCCAAAACUAUCAGUCUAGAGUUCGAGAGAGGUGAGUGGAAUUCCGAGUGUAGAGGUGAAAUUCGUAGAUAUUCGGAAGAACACCAGUGGCGAAGGCGGCUCACUGGCUCGAUACUGACGCUGAGGUGCGAAAGUGUGGGUAGCAAACAGGAUUAGAUACCCUGGUAGUCCACACCGUAAACGAUGAAUGCCAGUCGUCAGGGGGCUUGCCCC